Euleptes europaea (tarantolino) is the source of this 456-nucleotide non-coding RNA. The record is from the annotation of a RefSeq genome assembly. Lineage: Eukaryota; Metazoa; Chordata; Lepidosauria; Squamata; Sphaerodactylidae.
AUGGCCUGGGUUCCUCUUCUGCUUCUCCUCCUCACUUACUGCAUUGGUGCCUUCGCUCAGUUUGUACUGACUCAGCCGCCUUCCACGUCUGCGUCCCCUGGAGAAACAGUGAAGAUCCCCUGUGUCAGGAGCAGUGGUAGCAUUACAGGCAACUACGUAUCCUGGUACCAACAGAAACCUGGCAGUGCCCCCAAACUGAUGAUAUAUGAGUUCAGCAAGAGACCCACAGGAAUCCCGGACCGUUUUUCUGGCUCUACGGACGCCUCUGCCAACUCUGCCACCUUAACCAUCUCCAAUGUCCAAGCAGAGGAUGAGGCCGAUUAUUACUGUUUGUCUUAUGUUGGUGGCAGCACGUACACAGUGGUUGUUGUGAGGAUAAAAUGGGGCGGGGGAACCCAACUAUGCUUCCCCUGGCUUUUGGGAAGACUGGGAGACACAAUAAAAUGCACAAUAUAA